CCAAAGAUGGCGGGCCCCCGCGCCCCCGUCCCCAACCCAUUGUUGACCAAAACCCUUUUGCCUCGGGGGCAGAGCGUCCGCCGCCGCGCCCCCGGAGGACCACCGAACGCUGUCUCUUUGCGUCAGAGUAUUAUUAAAUGAAUGA
This 145-nucleotide unclassified non-coding RNA is filed under the name uncultured Capnodiales. RNAcentral's name for it is "sequence contains ITS1". The record is from RNAcentral. Lineage: Eukaryota; Fungi; Ascomycota; Dothideomycetes; Capnodiales.